This 427-nucleotide ribosomal RNA is filed under the name uncultured bacterium. RNAcentral's name for it is "bacterial SSU rRNA". It matches the Rfam family "Bacterial small subunit ribosomal RNA", at positions 33 to 507 of the family's 1533-position model. The record is from RNAcentral.
ACGCUGGCGGCAUGCCUAACACAUGCAAGUCGAACGAGACCUUCGGGUCUAGUGGCGCACGGGUGCGUAACGCGUGGGAAUCUGCCCCUUGGUUCGGAGUAACAGCGAGAAAUUGCUGCUAAUACCGGAUAAUGACGUAAGUCCAAAGAUUUAUCGGCAAAGGAUGAGCCCGCGUAGGAUUAGGUAGUUGGUGGGUAAAGGCCUACCAAGCCGACGAUCCUUAGCUGGUCUGAGAGGAUGAUCAGCCACACUGGGACUGAGACACGGCCCAGACUCCUACGGGAGGCAGCAGUGGGGAAUAUUGGACAAUGGGCGAAAGCCUGAUCCAGCAAUGCCGCGUGAGUGAUGAAGGCCUUCGGGUCGUAAAGCUCUUUUACCAGGGAUGAUAAUGACAGUACCUGGAGAAUAAGCUCCGGCUAACUCCGUG